RNAcentral lists this ribosomal RNA (253 nucleotides) under uncultured bacterium. Its description in RNAcentral is "partial 16S ribosomal RNA". It matches the Rfam family "Bacterial small subunit ribosomal RNA", at positions 524 to 776 of the family's 1533-position model. The record is from RNAcentral.
UACGUAGGGUGCGAGCGUUGUCCGGAAUUAUUGGGCGUAAAGAGCUUGUAGGCGGUCUGUCGCGUCUGCUGUGAAAAUCCGGGGCUCAACCCCGGACUUGCAGUGGGUACGGGCAGACUAGAGUGUGGUAGGGGAGACUGGAAUUCCUGGUGUAGCGGUGAAAUGCGCAGAUAUCAGGAAGAACACCAAUGGCGAAGGCAGCUCUCUGGGACGGUACUGACACUGAGACGCGAAAGCGUGGGGAGCAAACAGG